Lathyrus oleraceus (garden pea) is the source of this 2073-nucleotide RNA transcript. RefSeq lists it as uncharacterized. The transcript has 6 exons. Lineage: Eukaryota; Viridiplantae; Streptophyta; Magnoliopsida; Fabales; Fabaceae. The record is from RefSeq and is a predicted model, not a curated record.
AAGCUGCUCACUAACAAACUAAAACCCAUAAAAACUUAAAUACUAACCGAAACCUUCUAAAGAAAAAAAAACAAACCAAAUAAAACCAAACCAUGGGCUGCUGGACUAGGUUUAGGAUAAAACCCAACCCUAAGCUCCUGAACCACAUGGGCAUGGGUCGGUGAAGACCCAUUCCCCUCAAGCUAGCCCAAACACAGAGGUAAUCGAGGGAGGCGAAAAGACAAACCCUAGCCGCCUGGCUGUUGGGUAGAGGAACAGAAAACAUUUAAUGCUAGCACUAGUUGGCAGCAUUAACCAAAGGCUGUUGUAAUGAAAAGCCAAAAACUUUAUUGACACGAUAACCAAACCUUUAACAAAUGGGCUUUUAAUUGUAUUAAAAAAUAAUAGUUAUAUGGAACAUUAUUUGGAGAAGAACAAACAGUGAACAACAAAUAAACAUUUGUCUCUUUCCUUCAACAAACCCAAACUAUUCUCAGAGACGAGGAAAAUCCAAUCUUUCCAUCUUGAGGAAAAUCAACCGUAAACAAAAAUAACACGACCAACGGAGAUGACGGAAACGAAAACUCAACCGAAGAGCAUAAACAGAAAAUCCAAAAUGGAACCGACGUCGUCGCCUCUUCUAUGGUCAAAGAGAGGGGCCAUUAUCGAUCGAGGUUAAAUCGAGAACCCACAGCGUGAUGCAAGGAGGUACUUACCUGUCACGACAAGAUCAACGGUGAUGGGAAAGGUAAUGAUUAGAUCCUGCUUUCAAAUUCCCCCUCAUUGGUCGAUUCGCCUUCUUCACGUACUCACUCGCGUGCUCGGCUUUUGGUAGAGACUUCGUUCCAAAAGGCGUCAAGAUGAAGCUCUAACACCGUCUCUUCAAAGGAAUCGCAUUUUUUAGUAAUCGCGGUUCUGAUUGUGAAAGGCCUCCAAAAAUUCUCUCUGUGGUCCCUCUCUUUGCGUUCUUUUUACCGUUGGGGUGGCACGACCUUUGGGAGUGUUGGUGAGUGUUCGUACGGACGCUCUGAGACCUCUCGUCUGUAUCCAACUUCGUGGUCCCUUUUCAAUUCUCAUCCUAAUCUUUUACCGUUGGACAUAUGUCACGCCGGGUCGAAUUUCAGAGGAGGUUUGCAAACGCUAACGUCAACUGUGCAAAGAUGCACAAAAGUAGUUCCACACAGAGGAGUCACCUUGCCAGGAAACCGACUUUUCACUCAAUGUCUAAUUAAAUUGCUAAGUGCAUCAUCACUGCUUAGUUAUCCAAGAAGAAGAAAAAACAGAUGUUAUGGUGAAAACGGAAACAGAAGUAGAAGAGAGAAAGAGAAUGUAGAAGGUGGCGAUGGACUGUUGUCAUGGCCUGCUAUGAACUGCUGCAACUUGAUGAAGGUCUUGGAAUGCAGCCUGUGGAAUUGUUUGCUACAACUUGUUGUUGGUGCCAUGCGUAGCUUUUUGCUUAUAAGCCCAUCCGUUGCCAGUGGAUCAAUGCGGAGGACCAAAAUGGUAGCAAGGCCUUGGCAGCUUCCUCCUCUGCACCCAUAACCCCUUUCUAUGCAUUAAUCGCAAAUUCUUCGGCUUCUUUAAGCCUGAAAGGCAGUUCACCUAUAGCUUGCACUGCUUCUGCAGUAUCCUUCAAUUGAGCCUGGAGCCCUCUAUUUUCAUCUCUCAACAUUUGCCUCUCCUCUAUCCGCCAGCAUAAGUGUUGUAGAGAAAUCUGCUUUGCUAAAGAUAAUCCCAACAAUAUAUUUUGAGAAAGAAGCAAAGUCCAUAUUGAAUCCAACAUCGGCACACAUAGAAGCAUCCUUGCAUUCUGAAUGCAGCUGGAAACUCUAGUUGUGGGGUUGGGUUCAGGGCAGAACUGGGAUCAAUCGCUGCAUGAGGAUGAAGAUACUGUACAUCCAACUUUCCAGACUUGUGAUCUAGUAUAUUGAAACUCAAAGCUAUUUUUUGGUUUUUAUGGAAAAUAUUGCUCAAAAUCGCUCGUAGACACAUUAGAGAAUGUAUUCAACUUUCACAUCCAUUGUAACAUUUUCAAACUUGUAUAUGUGAUGUGCAUGAUAACGAAAAAUGGUAUUCUGUAGCGAGACAAAAUUA